RNAcentral lists this long non-coding RNA (635 nucleotides) under Salvia miltiorrhiza (redroot sage). RNAcentral's name for it is "long non-coding RNA (SMIL_LNC008201)". Lineage: Eukaryota; Viridiplantae; Streptophyta; Magnoliopsida; Lamiales; Lamiaceae. The record is from RNAcentral.
CAUGGCUUUGGUUCUAUGUACAAUGGUAAUAUCUCAAUGUAUGAAUCAUACUACUUCUGUGAAACGCCAUAAAUCAUGUAUUCGCAUAUGGUUUGCUAUGUCCCUCUGUAGUAUGCUUAAUCCUAUAUUUCUGAACCUUUAAUACAUGAAGCAUGCUCUGUUGGGGUGUAAAAUGUGUAUAUGAAAGUAGUGAACUGAGAUAGCAUAAAAUACCUUGAGAAUGUGUUGGUUGGCUGUUGCUAUGGUAUUGAAUAAACUGAGAUAAUAAAUAAUCACAAUUGUUAGUUCUUCUCAAUGAAUGCGGGAGAAAUCAUGGAUAGAUGGAAGGAUUAAAGGCAAGGUUUACCUUGCAGUUUGGCAGGGUAAUGAAUGAAUGAUCUCUCUCUUAUUUCUUCAACUGUUGAGGUGUUAACUGGAAUGGCUGAAAUAAUUUGUAGUUGUUGUUCUUCAAUAAAUGCAGGUGAAAUCAUGGAGAAAGGUGGGAACAUUAAGGCAAGCUUACCUUGAGAACUUGGCAGGAACAAGAUAGGGACUGAUCUUCGAUAAUUCUUGGUGAAAACAACUGAGAGUGAGUGUUGUAUUUGUUGGCUGAAGUUAACAACUAGUAGAGGAAGAAGUUUCAGCUGCAACUUGAG